RNAcentral lists this long non-coding RNA (1580 nucleotides) under Linum usitatissimum (flax). Its description in RNAcentral is "long non-coding RNA (LUSI_LNC007728)". Lineage: Eukaryota; Viridiplantae; Streptophyta; Magnoliopsida; Malpighiales; Linaceae. The record is from RNAcentral.
UCAUUAUCACCAUGACCUAAAGUAGGAAGACUUCAAAGGACUGAUGUCCACAUCCAAACCAUAGCCUAAAAGUUCCACAGGCUUUUAGUGCGCGUGAACAAAUAAUUAUGGGGAAUUUUAGUUUGGUGAAAUGACAAAUUUAAGAAGGAAAAAGUUUAGCAGGACGAUAAAACAAACCUUGUGGAGCAAGUUGAACGGUUUCGAUAAGCAAGUACGUCAUCUGCCAAAAUUUCCAAACUUGAAGCCUUAUCUUCAUCCCAACGUCAAAUCGCAUGCUAAUAAAAAAUUUAAAACCCAUUUUUCAUAAUGAUUAUCAGGAAUAACUUGGUAAUAGAAGAAGCAUUAUGGACUCUAAUUGUCAUUUGCAGGCAAAGUAUUUACUGUAGAGGUAGAAGAGUUCCAAGUCAAUGCAUGCUCCUUUUCUUUUAUAAAUGAUGAAUGAAUGAUAUUAACCGUAACAACGUACGACAUGUGUAUGUAUAAUAAACAUUCAUUCAUACGAAAAAACUAACAUCACAAACUAAAAUCUCAUUUCGAAAGCAUUUUCCUACACACAACCCAUAAAAGACAUUUAUUUGGUCUAUAAUAGUUGUAAGAAGACUGAUCUGUUAUUAUUCUGUUAAAGUACAAAGGAUCAUUGUUAAGGUGACUUGACAUAGUACCAGACCAAAAUCAUCUUGGUCCCCUUUAAUGUGUAUUUUUUCUAGACAGUAGCUGUGGAAACUAUCUUGUCAUUUCUACUCAGUAGAUUUACAGAACAUCCUAUAGUAGUAUAAAGAGAUAAAUCUAUAAUACCCAAAUCGAUCUCGACAAAUUUCAAAUCUAAUCCUUAUAUGAGAAGGAAAAGUAAAAAGUGGAGGAGUUCAAUAUGUGAUAAACCACUUACCCUGCUUAUCAUUGCACGAGUGUUUGCGGGUAUACCGACCAACCGGCCUCAACUCAAGGAACCGGUUUGAUUUUGCUAAUUGGUUUAUAGAUUUGUAGGCGGCUGCAAACGGAUAACUGUUUAUGCUCUAGCGGAAACACUCGCAUGAACACAAACAAAAAGUCUAACAGACAAAACACAACCAACAACAUUUUCUAAUUAGACAAGUUGAUGCUCAUUUUGAUCUCCUACGUACUAUAUCAAGUUGAACAAUUAUUUUAUAUUUUUAUGUAUCAUCAAAUGCACGAGACAUAACUCCUCACCAAUUUAAUGAUUAAAUGUCGAUCAAAAGUAUAGUUUAUUUAUGCAAACUGAGACGAAUUAAUUGUUGACCAAAACACUUACCUAUAAUUCUAUUGUUAAAAGGACUCAAAUACCCUCAGUUUGAUCAUGUUCACGGUCCCCGAUCCCCACACUAAGGAUAGUGUAGUAGUGAAGCAGUUCCUCACCCUAAUUCGGUUGAGCUAGCAAAGAGUCAAAGAUGCGUUGAUAUUUUCUCAAAUUAACCCACAAAAGAGAUUUAUUUGGUCUAUAUACCAUAAUAUAUAGUUGUAAGAGGAAUUAUUCGCAAGCUAAUUCAUAUAUUAGACUAUGAGUAGGACAAGUGCAAAAUGGAGUUCAAUACGUAAUGUAAACGACUUACUGUGGCAUGAGU